RNAcentral lists this unclassified non-coding RNA (240 nucleotides) under soil metagenome. RNAcentral describes it as "partial contains 5.8S ribosomal RNA, internal transcribed spacer 2, and large subunit ribosomal RNA". The record is from RNAcentral.
AACGCACGAGACCUGCGGACCUGCGGAAGGAUCAUUAAUGAGAAACUGCCCCUCGCGGGUAGAUCUCCCACCCUUUGUAAACUUACCUUUGUUGCUUUGGCAGGCCCGUCUCCGGACCGCCGGCUUCGGCUGGCCAGUGCCUGCCAGAGGAUUCUAAAACUCUGUCUGUCGGUGUUGUCUGAGUCUAUAUACAAUCGUUAAAACUUUCAACAAUGGAUCUCUAGAUCGGAAGAGCACACG